CUACGGGUUGCUGCAGUGAGGAAUAUUGCACAAUGGGGGGAACCCUGAUGCAGCAACGCCGCGUGGAGGAUGACGCAUUUCGGUGUGUAAACUCCUUUUAUAUGUCAAGAAAAUGACGGUAGCAUAUGAAUAAGCACCGGCUAACUCCGUGCCAGCAGCCGCGGUAAUACGGAGGGUGCAAGCGUUACUCGGAAUCACUGGGCGUAAAGGACGCGUAGGCGGGUUGGAAAGUCAGGUGUGAAAGCCUACAGCUUAACUGUAGAACUGCACUUGAAACUCUCAAUCUAGAGUAUGGGAGGGGCAGAUGGAAUUAGUGGUGUAGGGGUAAAAUCCGUAGAUAUCACUAGGAAUACCUAAAGCGAAGGCGAUCUGCUGGAACAUUACUGACGCUAAGGCGUGAAAGCGUGGGGAGCAAACAGGAUUAGAUACCCCCGUAGUC
This 439-nucleotide ribosomal RNA is filed under the name uncultured bacterium. Its description in RNAcentral is "partial 16S ribosomal RNA". It matches the Rfam family "Bacterial small subunit ribosomal RNA", at positions 339 to 795 of the family's 1533-position model. The record is from RNAcentral.